AUCUCGUGGUGAAAGCAUUUAUGAAGUAACUCCUUGAAUCUAUCCCAUGCCUCAUAUAGGGACUCGUCAUCCAAUUGUUGAAAAGUGGUGAUCUCAUUCUACAACUU
Small nucleolar RNA from Gossypium arboreum, 107 nucleotides. It matches the Rfam family "Plant small nucleolar RNA R71". From Rfam's summary of the family: R71 is a member of the C/D box family of snoRNAs containing the C (UGAUGA) and D (CUGA) box motifs. Lineage: Eukaryota; Viridiplantae; Streptophyta; Magnoliopsida; Malvales; Malvaceae. The record is from Rfam.